Molecule: ribosomal RNA, 425 nt
Filed under: uncultured bacterium
Lineage: Bacteria
Description: bacterial SSU rRNA
Rfam family: Bacterial small subunit ribosomal RNA
Source: RNAcentral
UCGAGAAUCUUCGGCAAUGAGCGCAAGCUUGACCGAGCGACGCCGCGUGGAGGAUGAAGGCCUUCGGGUUGUAAACUCCUGUCAGAGGGGAGGAAAGUGAGGUGGGCUCUCCCAUCUCAUUGACCUAGCCUCAGAGGAAGGACGGGCUAAAUUCGUGCCAGCAGCCGCGGUAAUACGAAUCGUCCAAACGUUGUUCGGAUUCACUGGGUUUAAAGGGCGCGUAGGCGGUGCGUUAAGUCGGCGGUGAAAUACUUCGGCUCAACCGGAGAAUGGCCGCUGAAACUGGCGUGCUCGAGGGAGGUAGAGGUGCGUGGAACUUCCGGUGGAGCGGUGAAAUGCGUUGAUAUCGGAAGGAACACCUGUGGCGAAAGCGAUGUACUGGACCUCUUCUGACGCUGAGGCGCGAAAGCCAGGGGAGCGAACGG